RNAcentral lists this non-coding RNA (276 nucleotides) under Helotiales sp. Its description in RNAcentral is "partial 18S ribosomal RNA". The stretch from base 5 to 238 matches the Rfam family "Group I catalytic intron". From Rfam's summary of the family: Group I catalytic introns are large self-splicing ribozymes. The record is from RNAcentral. Lineage: Eukaryota; Fungi; Ascomycota; Leotiomycetes; Helotiales.
AACGCUGCCGCAUGCAAGUCAGGUAACUGGCAACACGAUCGAAUUGCGGGGACCUCCUAAAGCUUCACAUACUAUCCAUCUUCGAAAGCGGGUGGCACAGUAAUAAUUGUGAAGAUACUACAAUGGACGAUCCGCAGCGAAGACCCUACAGCGCAAGCCAUGGGUAACGUUCACAGACUAAGUGAUUGUGGGUAGCUUACUACUUAAGAUAUAGUCGGGCCCUGGCCGAAAGGCUAGGGGUAAACGUCCGUAGGUGAACCUGCGGAAGGAUCAUUA